Molecule: ribosomal RNA, 460 nt
Filed under: uncultured bacterium
Lineage: Bacteria
Description: partial 16S ribosomal RNA
Rfam family: Bacterial small subunit ribosomal RNA
Source: RNAcentral
CCUACGGGCGGCAGCAGUGAGGAAUAUUGGUCAAUGGGCGGAAGCCUGAACCAGCCAAGUAGCGUGCAGGAUGACGGCCCUACGGGUUGUAAACUGCUUUUAUACGGGAAUAACGCGCCUUACGUGUAGGGCUUUGCAUGUACCGUAAGAAUAAGGACCGGCCAAUUCCGGGCCAGCAGCCGCGGUAAUACGGAAGGUCCGGGCGUUAUCCGGGUUUAUUGGGGGUAAAGGGAGCGUAGGCCGCAGUGCAAGCUGGCGGUGAAAUGUCCGGGCUCAACCCGGGCCUUGCAGCGCGAACUGGCGUGCUUGAGUCCGCGGAAAGCAGGCGGAAUUCGUCGUGUAGCGGUGAAAUGCUUAGAUAUGACGAAGAACCCCGAUUGCGAAGGCAGCUUGCUGCAGCGGAACUGACGCUGAUGCUCGAAAGCGCGGGUAUCGAACAGGAUUAGAUACCCCUGUAGUC